GAUCCUGGCUUAGGACGAACGCUGGCGGCACGCCUAACACAUGCAAGUCGAACGGAGAUAUUUGGUUACUGAGAUAUCUUAGUGGCGGACGGGUGAGUAACACGUGAGCAACCUGCCUUUGAGAGAGGGAUAGCUUCUGGAAACGGAUGGUAAUACCUCAUAACGUAUACUUAAGGCAUCUUAUGUAUACCAAAGAUUUAUCACUCAAAGAUGGGCUCGCGUCUGAUUAGAUAGUUGGUGAGGUAACGGCUCACCAAGUCGACGAUCAGUAGCCGGACUGAGAGGUUGAACGGCCACAUUGGGACUGAGACACGGCCCAGACUCCUACGGGAGGCAGCAGUGGGGAAUAUUGCACAAUGGGGGAAACCCUGAUGCAGCGAUGCCGCGUGGAGGAAGAAGGUUUUCGGAUUGUAAACUCCUGUCUUAAAGGACGAUAAUGACGGUACUUUAGGAGGAAGCUCCGGCUAACUACGUGCCAGCAGCCGC
RNAcentral lists this ribosomal RNA (486 nucleotides) under uncultured bacterium. RNAcentral's name for it is "bacterial SSU rRNA". It matches the Rfam family "Bacterial small subunit ribosomal RNA", at positions 15 to 518 of the family's 1533-position model. The record is from RNAcentral.